RNAcentral lists this signal recognition particle RNA (294 nucleotides) under Armatimonadota bacterium. Its description in RNAcentral is "Armatimonadetes bacterium (marine sediment metagenome) signal recognition particle sRNA large type". It matches the Rfam family "Bacterial large signal recognition particle RNA". From Rfam's summary of the family: The signal recognition particle (SRP) is a universally conserved ribonucleoprotein involved in the co-translational targeting of proteins to membranes. Archaeal SRP consists of a 7S RNA and homologues of the eukaryotic SRP19 and SRP54 proteins. Lineage: Bacteria; Bacillati; Armatimonadota. The record is from RNAcentral.
UCGUGCUAGGCGGGGAACCAGCGGUGCCCUAAGCCCGCCGUAGCCUUAGCGAAGGCGGGUGAACCCGCAAUCCGCUAUAGCGGGGCUGAAUUCCCGUGCUGAGACCAGGCCUGGUAGGUCUGGAGGGCGCUGGUGGUGUCGAGGACCGGGCCCUGCGCAGCCGUUCCCUGUGAACCCCGUCAGGUCCGGAAGGAAGCAGCGGUAAGCAGUCAGUUCGGUGUGCCGCAGUUUAGUCGGGUCUGAGCCAUUUGUGUCAAUACCGUUGUCAGGUGCUGGCCGAAGCCGGGUGCACGA